Molecule: microRNA, 22 nt
Filed under: Oreochromis niloticus (Nile tilapia)
Lineage: Eukaryota; Metazoa; Chordata; Actinopteri; Cichliformes; Cichlidae
Description: oni-miR-10932
Source: miRBase by way of RNAcentral
UAGGCUUUAUCCAUGGUUGGAA